This is a long non-coding RNA of Ostrinia nubilalis (European corn borer), 2215 nucleotides long. RefSeq lists it as uncharacterized. The record is from RefSeq and is a predicted model, not a curated record. The transcript has 3 exons. NCBI's taxonomy places the organism in Eukaryota, Metazoa, Arthropoda, Insecta, Lepidoptera, Crambidae.
UCAUCAUUCAUAUUAUUUUGCCGGAUAAAUUAUUGCUAUAUCCAUUUCAUUCUCGCAUAACGUAAUGCGUACUGGAAAGAAAAGGCUAGCCAGUAGUAUAAUGAAGCAUAGAUUGAGAGAUCACUUUUAAAGUUUUGACUUUUGAAUCAUGUCAAAAGUUCAAAACUUUGUUUUACGACUUCGAGUUUCUCAGUUCGAGUUGGCGAUUCCUAGUUUUUGUGAUUUUUAUUUUGUGACCUGGACUGAAAUUGGACUUCGAUUGGGCUUUCUUUCUUGAUUUACUUUGGCUACGUAUCUGGACUCCGACACUGCUGAUUUUCUUAUCGACCUUUGGCGUACCCGUACCGGAAUUUGACCUCAGCUCGCACGAAGACCUGGCUUGUGAAAAGGAUUUCAGACAAAAUGCCUCCGAAUAAGUGCUCCUAUUUUAGGUGUACAAAUACUUCAGAUAAGAAGUCAAUGUUCCGUUUCCCUUGGAAAGAUCCAGAUCGCUUAGAAGUAUGGUUAAAUAACUGUGGUAAUAUGACAAUAACACAUUUGCCUCGAGAGAAAUUGCGGUCAAGAUACAUAUGUAUUGACCAUUUCCAAAAUAAAUAUAUACGGAGUGCGACUAAUGUGAGAAAAACACUCCGAAGACAAGCAAUACCAGAACCGUAUCAGAAUCCGGAAGUUGAUACAACAUCUCAGAAUCAUUCUCCAUCUCACUUGCCAGGUUCAUCUAGUUCACCUGCAAGUUUAAAAGUUUUAACACCACAAAGGGUUUAUGUAAAUAAAAAGAGGAUUCUUGCAGAAACCCACAAAUCAGACACUGAGGCGGAGAAUGAAGAACAGCUGUAUUCGACCACACCCAAAAAAAGAAAAAUAGUAGAUACACCGAAGUGUAAAAAACUGAAAACACUUUUAGUAAAAAGUAAUAAGUCAUUAAAACGGCAAAUAAUUAAAAACAAAAGUUUAAAAAAUAAAAAUUUCAUUGAUUUAUCCAAACAUACUUUUAAAAGCGAAUCAAGUAAAUUAAUAACUAAUUACAACUAAGGUUAAAACAAAAACAAUUUACGCAAGAAGAAAAAAAAUUCUGCAUGUCCUUAUAUUAUAAGUCGCCCGCUGCUUACAAAUUUAUGGUAAAAUCAGGCAUAGUUUUGGCUGCUCCAUCUACAAUUCAACGAUGGUUACAAGAAACCAAUUGCUUGCCAGGAAUAAAUAGCGAAAUAUUUGAAAAUAUUAAAAAUAAAUUUUCUGAUAAAUCAAUUAAGGAAAGGGCAUGUGCGGUGUGUUUUGACGAAAUGAGCAUUAUGAUUAAUUUAGAAUACACAAAUAAAUAUGAUUUAAUAGAGGGAUUUGAAGAUUUUGGUGGUGGGGAUAGAAUUAACAAUGAAGCCAAAUAUGCACUUGUAUUUGUUGCCAGGGGAAUCUACACAAAUUGGAAGAUCCCCAUAGCAUAUUUUUUAUCGCAGAAAAACGUGCAUGCUGAUAAAUUAAAAAUGAUUUUAGAAUCUGUAAUCGACAAAUUAUUUGAAUGUGGCUUGUUACCAAAAGUAACCGUUUGUGAUCAAGCUACAACGAAUGUUAAAUUGAUCAAAAAUUUGGGUGCUAGUGUUGAUUCUCCUUUUUAUUUUAUAAAUGGACAUAAAAUGUAUGCAAUUUUUGACACACCUCAUUUGAUUAAAAAUAUCCGGAAUAAUUUACUUCAGCAUGAUUUUGAUUUAAAUGGUGAUCAAAUUUCAUUCAAUGAUAUUUUGCAUGUGUACAAUAUUGAUAAAAUGAAUAAAAGUAAAUGUUUAAGAAAAAUAACGCCAGUGCACAUAAAUCCAAAUAGCUUUCAAAAAAUGAAAGUAAAACUGGCCACACAAAUAUUAAGUAACUCUGUUGCUGGUGCAAUAAAAACAGCCAUAGAUAGCGGAGAGUUGAAGAGCACUACUGCAAAAAAUACAGCUGAUUUUGUACAAUUAUGUAAUGAUUUAUUUGAUUGUCUUAAUUCAAAAAAUAAAUUUGAUUCGAAUCCACAUAGAUGUGCUAUAACAAAUAAUAAAAAUUCGAUUGUUAAUCAAACUCUAAUCAAAGGUAGGGAAAUGUUUAUGAAUAUAAAGAAAAUUACUAAAAAUCGUAAAAAUGAAAUACAAAUGACACGACCCCCAUGUUUCGACGGUAUGAUUCAGACGAUAAAUAGUGUUCUUCAACUCUCAACAGAAGAAUUUUCGGAUGGCACUGGCGUUAAAUU